CGCCUUNGACCGCGACCCCAGGUCAGGCGGGAUCACCAA
Molecule: ribosomal RNA, 39 nt
Filed under: Thunbergia alata (black-eyed Susan vine)
Lineage: Eukaryota; Viridiplantae; Streptophyta; Magnoliopsida; Lamiales; Acanthaceae
Description: partial 28S ribosomal RNA
Source: RNAcentral